UUAUUUUGCUAUUGGUUGGCUUCCCAGGGGCAAAGGAGGAAAAUAACUGACAAGCAGGGCGAUCCUGUCCUUAUCAUGGACAUUGAAAAACUUAUAUCUUUGAAAGAGGAACGCCCUGCUCUUUGGGAUGCCUCCGACCCCCUACAUGCUGAGAAGACCUACAGCCUAUGGGAGGAAGUGUAUGCACACGAGUCCAACCUGGGAGGACCUUUCAAUUCAUGUGAAAAGUGCUAUAGCAAAACGAAGACGAAAUGGAACAGCAUCCGGGACAGACACAUGCGGCAUCUGCGCAAGGAGGUGUGCGUACCCAGUGGUUCUGCACAAUCAAAAAAAAAACAAAAUAAAGUGUUCUGUCUGGAAGAACGCUGCAAAAUUGUCUCUUAUCCGCAUGACCGCUACAGUUGAUCAUCCGAGUGCGUCCUGCAGACCAGGUAGAGUUGACUCCUCUUCAUCCUGCAGAGAGGCUCCUUGGUGAGGAUGUAGUUGUAGCUGCUGUCUUCACCACUUGAUCCACAAUGGCUGGGGACAAUUGGAACUGCUGAAUAAAGAUCCGGCAUUUGGAUGUCAAAAUGCCA
This is a long non-coding RNA of Hyla sarda, 575 nucleotides long. RefSeq lists it as uncharacterized. Lineage: Eukaryota; Metazoa; Chordata; Amphibia; Anura; Hylidae. The transcript is spliced from 4 exons. The record is from RefSeq and is a predicted model, not a curated record.